GAAACUAACAGGGAUUCCCUUAGUAGUGGCGAACGAAACGGGAUCAGCCCAUCACGUAGGAUCAUAGGCUUAAUUGUCUAUUGAUCGAUUCCGUGUAAAGGAGGGACCAUUAUCUUGCACAUAUAAACAUCAUAUUUAAGUCCAGCUUGAAUGCGGCCCAAUAUAUCCAAAGAGGGUGCCAGGCCCGUAUAUGUAUGAUGCUUGUGUAAGUGGUCUACAAACUCCUAGGAGUCAUGUUGCUUGAUAGUGCAGCAUUAAGUGGGAGGUAAACUCCUUCUAAGGCUAAAUAUUACCAUGAGACCGAUAGCGAACAAGUACCGUGAGGGAAAGUUGAAAAGCACUCUGAAUAGAGAGUCAAAUAGUACGUGAAACUGUCUUGGGGCUCAAACCUAAAGAACCUAAAUAUCUAAACGGAGAAAUUCAAUACUACCGUUAAACGUAGUGUGCACUUUUCUCUUAGUAAGACGCCGUGAUCCAUUAGAAAUUGAUACAUACAAAAUGUAUAUUGGUCAUCAAUAGGUCAAUAUGAAGUUUAUUGGAACAAAUGUCAUAAUCUUUUACGGUUGUGUGUAUUGUCUGGUAAGCAUAUUGUGUCCUGUAAUGACUGUCUGAUGGAUUUUAAAGAUGAUAUCAAUGAUGUUACGGCAUCACUUAUUUUUUAAUAAGAAUUCGAUAUGUGUCUGAUCAACGGCGGUUAAAUUUGGGAUACCUUUUGGACCCGUCUUGAAACACGGA
Molecule: ribosomal RNA, 735 nt
Filed under: Dicrotendipes septemmaculatus
Lineage: Eukaryota; Metazoa; Arthropoda; Insecta; Diptera; Chironomidae
Description: eukaryotic LSU rRNA
Rfam family: Eukaryotic large subunit ribosomal RNA
Source: RNAcentral